GAUGAACGCUGGCGGCGUGCCUAAUACAUGCAAGUCGAGCGAACGGACGAGAAGCUUGCUUCUCUGAUGUUAGCGGCGGACGGGUGAGUAACACGUGGAUAACCUACCUAUAAGACUGGGAUAACUUCGGGAAACCGGAGCUAAUACCGGAUAAUAUUUUGAACCGCAUGGUUCAAAAGUGAAAGACGGUCUUGCUGUCACUUAUAGAUGGAUCCUCGCUGCAUUAGCUAGUUGGUAAGGUAACGGCUUACCAAGGCAACGAUGCAUAGCCGACCUGAGAGGGUGAACGGCCACACUGGAACUGAGACACGGUCCAGACUCCUACGGGAGGCAGCAGUAGGGAAUCUUCAGCAAUGGGCGAAAGCCUGACGGAGAAACGCCGCGUGAGUGAUGAAGGUCUUCGGAUCGUAAAACUCUGUUAUUAGGGAAGAACAUAUGUGUAAGUAACUGUGCACAUCUUGACGGUACCUAAUCAGAAAGCCACGGCUAACUACGUG
Molecule: ribosomal RNA, 497 nt
Filed under: uncultured bacterium
Lineage: Bacteria
Description: partial 16S ribosomal RNA
Rfam family: Bacterial small subunit ribosomal RNA
Source: RNAcentral